CCGAUCUUCACUUGAAGUAUGUGCAUUUGCUUCGUUUUCCAAUUAUAUAUUUCGAGCUGAUGCAAACCAGUGCGCGAUUAGAGACAGCGUCCGGGAGAGCCGACGUCACCCGAGGGCUUCGUGCCUAGUGCCCUCACCCUAUUCUUUCGAAUCCUGGGGUGAAUUAUGGACACAGCAGGCAAGGCACUCCCCCCAUUCCCUUGGGGGGGGGGGCAAAGGAGGCUGCAUACUCCCAUAUCAGCCUCUUAAUUACCUCGUGUGGGUCGGAGAGAUGUUAUUGUUGGCCAUCUUCCAAUGCGCCCCCUGGUGGCCCCCACAACAACAAUAUAUUGGGGAAAGAUAUAUAUAUAUUUCCCCCCCAAUGUAUUUGAAUUUCCCUGACCUGGUUUACUGGAUUAUCCCCAGGUCAGGGAAAUUCAAAUGCAUUGGGGGGAAAUGUACAAGAUCACAGUUCUCUGCAGUGGAUGUCAGCACAAACAACAUCAAGUUCACAUUAUACCUAGGACCCUCGUACCUCUCCUGGUACGUCCCACAGAGGAACUUAUGAUCUUCAAACAAAAACAUCUUGAAGGUCCCAGGCCACAGAGAGGUUAGGCUGGCCUCAACCAAAGCCCGGGCUUUUUCAGCUGUAGCUCCGAUCUGGUGGAACGCUCUGUCACAAGAGACUAGGGCCCUGCAGGACUUGACAUCUUUCCACAGGGCCUGCAAGCAGAGCUGUUCCACCAGGCCUUUGUCCAGGGCACAGCCUGACUCCCUCCUUUGGCAAUCCUCACAGAACCUCUAGCCCAAUGGUUGCCAUUAAUUUGAUUGGAAUUAAUUUUAUAAUGAAAUGAUUUUAGAAUGUUUUAUCGUUUUACUGUUGUUAGCCGCUCUGAGCCCGGCUUCGGCUGGGGAGGGCGGGAUAGAAAUAAAAUUUAUUAUUAUUAUUAUUAUUACUCCAGAGUGGACAAGCCCAAAAUCUUGAACAAGCAGUUCCAGGGUGACUUUUCACUCCUCGACAAAACAAAGCAAGCUAGCCACUUCCCAACCUAUCAAUUAUAAAUGUUCUCCAGUGCAGUGCUGAGGUCCCUGCAGAAAGGAAGAAGCCCUUAGAGAAAGAGAAGUGAACCUCAUCAGACAUCCUAGGAAGAAUUAAGGAG
This is a non-coding RNA of Podarcis lilfordi (Lilford's wall lizard), 1139 nucleotides long. Lineage: Eukaryota; Metazoa; Chordata; Lepidosauria; Squamata; Lacertidae. The record is from the annotation of a GenBank genome assembly.